Molecule: transfer RNA, 72 nt
Filed under: Camelus bactrianus (Bactrian camel)
Lineage: Eukaryota; Metazoa; Chordata; Mammalia; Artiodactyla; Camelidae
Also listed under: 1 other name
Rfam family: tRNA
About the family: Transfer RNA (tRNA) molecules are approximately 80 nucleotides in length. Their secondary structure includes four short double-helical elements and three loops (D, anti-codon, and T loops).
Source: Rfam by way of RNAcentral
UGGGGUGUAGCUCAGGGGCAGCGCGCAUGCCUAGCAUGCACAGAGUCCUGGGUUCAAUUCCCAGAACCUCUA